AAAAAAUGGGUUGAAUUGUGUUAGAUUUCUUUUUAUUUUAUAAAAAACUCUUAACAUAUUCUGAACAUAAGGUCUAGAAUCUGAAUCAAAGUUAAAUGUUUAACAAUAAAUUAAAGAAGAUAAGGGGUAGAAAGGAAACCAAGGAAGACAUAAGCAAUUAUCCUAGUUCCUUCCAUAAAUCGAGAGUAAUUCAAUCCCCUUACCCUUUCCAAGGGAUUUCACUAUAAUCAAA
Molecule: long non-coding RNA, 232 nt
Filed under: Lathyrus oleraceus (garden pea)
Lineage: Eukaryota; Viridiplantae; Streptophyta; Magnoliopsida; Fabales; Fabaceae
Description: Pisum sativum (pea) long non-coding RNA (PSAT_LNC023043)
Source: RNAcentral